UACAGAGGGUGCAAGCGUUGUUCGGAAUUAUUGGGCGUAAAGGGCGCGUAGGCGGUGCUGUAAGUCUGUAGUGAAAUCUCUGGGCUCAACUCAGAGUCUGCUAUAGAAACUGCAGUGCUGGAGUGUGGCAGAGGUAGGUGGAAUUCCUGGUGUAGUGGUGAAAUGCGUAGAGAUCAGGAGGAACACCGGUGGCGAAGGCGGCCUACUGGGCCAGCACUGACGCUGAGGCGCGAAAGCUCGGGGAGCGAACGGG
This 253-nucleotide ribosomal RNA is filed under the name uncultured bacterium. Its description in RNAcentral is "partial 16S ribosomal RNA". It matches the Rfam family "Bacterial small subunit ribosomal RNA", at positions 524 to 776 of the family's 1533-position model. The record is from RNAcentral.